This 478-nucleotide ribosomal RNA is filed under the name uncultured bacterium. RNAcentral describes it as "partial 16S ribosomal RNA". It matches the Rfam family "Bacterial small subunit ribosomal RNA", at positions 28 to 523 of the family's 1533-position model. The record is from RNAcentral.
GACGAACGCUGGCGGCAUGCCUAACACAUGCAAGUCGAGCGAGCUGAUUCCUUCGCGAUGAAGCUAGCGGCGGACGGGUGAGUAACACGCUCGCAACCUGCACCAUAGAGGGGAAUAGCCUUCCGAAAGGAAGAUUAAUACCGCAUAAGAUUGCAUCGUCGCAUGAAGAACCAAUGAAAGGAGCAAUCCGCUAUGAGAUGGGUCCGCGGCGGAUUAGCUAGUUGGCGAGGGAACCGCUCGCCAAGGCGAGGACGCGUAGCCGACCUGAGAGGGUGAUCGGCCACAUUGGGACUGAGCCACGGCCCAGACUACUACGGGAGGCAGCGGUGGGGAAUAUGGCACAAUGGGGGAAACCCUGAUGCAGCAAUGCCGCGUGAGUGAUGACGGCCUUCGGGUUGUAAAGCUCUGUCUUCGGGGAAGAUAAUGACGGUACCCGAGGAGGAAGCCACGGCUAACUACUUGCCAGCCGCCGCAGUAA